UCAGUGAGUGAGCUAACGCGUUAAAUGGUCCGCCUGAGGAGUACGGUCGCAAGAUUAAAACUCAAAGAAAUAGACGGGGGCUCACACAAGUGGUGGAACAUGUGGUUUAAUUCGAAACAACGCGCAAAACCUUACCAGUUCUUGACAUACAAAAUUUGGCCCGUAGAUUAUAAUACAGAGUAUUUUUGUACAGGUGUUGCAUGGCUGUCGUCAGCUCGUGUUGUGAAAUGUUGGAUUAAUUUCCUUAACGAGCGAAACCCUUGAAAUCUUUUUUUAAAUAUCUCUGCCAGAAAUUUAUCAUGAUUUUACUGCCAGUGAGAGACUGGAGGAAGGAAAGGAUGACGUCAAGUCCUCAUGACCCUUAUGGACUGGGCUACACACGUGUUACAAUGGUAAGCACAAUAAGCAGCAAUGAUGAAAGUCGGAGCGAAUCUUAAAAAUCUUACCUCAAUUCAGAUUGUUUUCUGCAAUUCGGAAACAUGAAGCCGGAAUCACUAGUAAUCGUAGAUCAGCAUUGCCACGGUGAAUACGUUCCCGGGCCUUGUACACACCGCCCGUCACACCAUGGGAGUUGGCUGCACCAGAAGCAGGUAGUCUAACCUUCGGGAGGACGCUUGCCACGGUGUGGUCAAUGACUGGGGUGAAGUCGUAACAAGGUAACCAAGGGCGAA
This 671-nucleotide ribosomal RNA is filed under the name uncultured bacterium. RNAcentral's name for it is "bacterial SSU rRNA". It matches the Rfam family "Bacterial small subunit ribosomal RNA", at positions 840 to 1510 of the family's 1533-position model. The record is from RNAcentral.